UGGUCAUUCGCUGUUCGUGAACUAUCAUGAAUAGAGGAAAGUCCGGACAUCAUAGGGCAGGAUUCCCUGCGAAAGCGGGGGGGGCUUGUUUCAAGGCAAGUUCACGGCUAGUGCAACAGAAAACAUACCGCCUCAAUCUUGAGGCAAGGUUGAAAAGGUGGGGUAAGAGCCCACCGUCGCAAGGGCAACUGAGCGAGCAAUGUAAACCCAAUCCGAUGCAAGACGAAAUAGGGAACCGGGCGGCCCGCCUGAUGGUUUCGGGUACGUCGCAUCCUCAGAAAUGAGGAAUUCCUGCAUGCAAGAAUAGAUAAAUGAAUGACGGUUUGCUCAUGUGCAAACAACAGAAUCCGGCUUACAGCUUC
This 362-nucleotide RNase P RNA is filed under the name marine eukaryotic metagenome. RNAcentral's name for it is "Bacterial RNase P class A". It matches the Rfam family "Bacterial RNase P class A". Rfam says of the family: Ribonuclease P (RNase P) is a ubiquitous endoribonuclease, found in archaea, bacteria and eukarya as well as chloroplasts and mitochondria. Its best characterised activity is the generation of mature 5'-ends of tRNAs by cleaving the 5'-leader elements of precursor-tRNAs. Cellular RNase Ps are ribonucleoproteins. The record is from RNAcentral.